ACGCAGAUUGCUCCGAAAACCGCAAAUACUGCCUGAGGUUCGGCUCUUCCCACCUUACUUGGAUUUAUGAUGCUGAUCAGGUUCACAGGUUCAGUCCAUUACCAUCAAGGCAGGAACAUGGCAGCAUCCAGGCAGGCAUGGUGCAGGAGGAGCUGAGAGUUCUACAUCUUCAUUUGAAGGCUGCUAGGAGAAGACUGGCUUCCAGAUAUCAAUGACUACUUGAGAUAGAAUGCUGUCAAGUGUCAGGUCAACUCUAAAGUGUCCAAGGUGUUAUGGGGCUGAGAUGUUGUCAGCAUCCGAUACUCUGCUAGUGCCACAGACAAGGUAGUACACGAAAUCAAUCCUAUUAUAUCAAAGAUCUAUCUGCACUGGUAGGAAUUAAACAAAUACUAUGUGGUCAAAGAGAAGCACACACUCCCAAGCUCAUUGCAGCACAUGCACUGUGCCCUGCAAGAUACAGAAUGAGCCCAGCCAUCCAUUGGUAGAGGAGGACAAGGAAAAUGAGGUGUGUAUACAUCAUGGGGCACCAGUGACAAAGAAGACACAAUUCUGCCAUUUGCGGGGUGUGGGUGGAGCUGGAGUCUAUGAUGGGAACCAAAAUAAAAUUAGCACACGAAAUUAGUUCUACUUCUCAGGACAGUGAGGUCACCGUGGUCUGUAACUGUUUACGGUAUAUUUUAGAAGAACUAAAAAAGUCUGAAGGGUCCUAAGAGAGAAACGACAAAUGCUCAUGACAGUUCCUCAAAAAUAGGUGUGACCACGAUGUGUGGACUAAAAGUAGAAGCAGCAUUACCAACGCUGUCCUUGUCUAUCAGAGGAGACAGGCUAUGAGCAAGAACUCACACGCGCCGUGAGCCGGGCGAGCCUGACAUGCUAGCACUCAGGAGGGCUGAAGCACAGCCUAAGCUACUGUGCGCGACUCUGUCUGGAAAGAGAAAAAGAAGAAGAAAGGCACAGAGGAUAAUUGUGAUGGAUGCUAUGGAGGAGAUGCCCAAGGUAGGCGGGCACACAAGGAGGAGUGAGGAGCUUGCCUUUCUGGGGAUUAACAUUCUUUUGAAUCCCAAACACAGCAAGCCCUGAUUAGCAUGACUUAUUGAGUGAAUGCCGAAAGUGAGCUUUUUAAUUGGGCAUCAUGACAAGUUCCUGGAAGGUUUUGUGCUCAUCCUGAUCUAAGAGUCACAGAAGUAGGAGCUAAGACACCGGGCAACGAGCUAAUUCUGGAACUUUCUGGAAGUCCCAACAGCUUGAAACCAUGCUUACAUUGUUCUGCUUGUAAAGUCCGGGCUGUUCCAAGGAAGUAGUUUACAUGGGAAAGCAUUUUAACAAUCACUUCAUAUUUUAUACAAGUUUUAUAGUUGGAUAUGGCUUUUUAAUUGUAAACAACAAUAAUAGAUUUACUGGAUAAUAUAAGAGGUAAAUGCACAAAAUAAUUUGUUAAUUGAUUUACAUUCAAACAUGUGGUACGUAUUUAUAUGGUAAAAAUCAUUCCAGAGAAAACAUAACUGCUGGAGUGGAGCCUCUUAUCCUGCGUCUUUUGGGUCCCAGGCUUGGCAAGCCUUGGGCAGUCUGCUUUCUGUUCCUGACAGGUCUGCGGAUCCUGUGUUCGGGAUUUAUUUAUUGUAUGUAUGUGAGUACAUGGUAGCUGUCAUCAGACGCAUCAGAAGGCGGCAUUGGAUCUCAUUAUGGAUGGUUAUGAGCCACUAUGAGGUUGCCGGGAAUUGAACUCAGGACCUCUGGAAGAGCAGUCAGUGCUCUAAACUGCUGAGUCAUCUCUCCAGCCUGUUUCUUUCUUUCUUUUUGUUAAAAUCAAACAUUAUAAUUUUCAUGGCAGUUUUGAAAGCUGGAUGUCACUGAGUGACAGUAUAUGCCGUCAUAUGUGUUCAAGCCUAAUUCUACUAAUGGAAGUCACGGAUGUUAGGUUUCAAACCUGGGACAAAUGGCUGAGGAGUUUAUUUAAUACAUCAAAGAAGACAUGGUCACCAGGUUCUCCUGGCUUCCCUCAGUCCCUACCUACUAUAGGGUCCUCCUGGCUGACAUACUCCAUCCGUACCCUAAACUUCCCCAGUCCAGUGGUCUAGGCUGCUCUUCCCCUAUAAUCCAGACAUGUUGGUUAUCUGCUGUCUUUGUACUUUUGGGCCUCCCGGCUGCUGCUGCACUUGGUUCCCUCUCCCUUCUCUCCCCACAUGGCUCAGGGUCAUGUCCACCCACACGACCCAGAUGUCCCUGCCCCUGGCUGUGCUCUCCCACAUGUCUGUAAUAAACUUUCUCCUUCUCUAUACCUAGGAACAACCAUGCUUCCUUUCCUUUCCUUUCCUUUCCUUUCCUUUCCUUUCCUUUCCUUUCCCUUUCUUUCUUUCUGUCUGUCUGUCUGUCUGUCUUUCUCUCUUUCUCUCUUCCUUCCUUCCUUCCCUCCUUCCUUCCUUCCUUCCUUCCUUCCUUCCUUCCUUCCUUCCUUUCUUUCUUCAUCCAACCUCCAGGUUUGCUUAACUGUGAUCAGAACUGGGAAUUUUAAGAGUAAUAUAAGUCAAAUGUAAAAUAAUUGUUUGGUAUAGACUUAUAAAAUUGUAAAUUUCUGGGGCACAGGAGCAAACACUUUUUUUUUCUUUUUUUCCCCGGAGCUGAGGACCGAACCUAGGGCCUUGCACUUGCUAGGUAAGCGCUCUACCACUGAGCUAAAUCCCCAACCCCUAGGAGCAAACACUUUUAAGGCUUUUAAUUAAUGUCAUCAAAUUACUUGUCGGAAAAUGUAAAGUGUGAAGAUGAAUUGAAAAACAUAGAUCCUGGUGAGGAAUUACAUGUGCAUAGCACUGAGGCAGGAGGCGUUAGAAAGCUCAGAGACAGGUCAAGCUUCUGCAUCAUAUUACUUUAUUUGCUUUGUCAAACAAGCAAACAAACCAGUCAGGGAGCCAGCGAGAUGGCUCAGUGGGUAAAGGAGCUUGCUGCUAAGCCUGGGGAUCUGAGUUCAAUUCCUGCAUCACACACAGUAGAAACGACUCUGCCAGUUGUCAUUGUGACCCACACAUUAAUAAAUAAAAAUUUUAAAGUAUGAAUUGGUAU
Non-coding RNA from Rattus norvegicus (Norway rat), 3057 nucleotides. NCBI's taxonomy places the organism in Eukaryota, Metazoa, Chordata, Mammalia, Rodentia, Muridae. The record is from RefSeq and is a predicted model, not a curated record.